UUUUUCUCCAAGGGUUAAAAGGGAAGCGGGUGUGAUUCCCGCACGAUCUCGUCACUGUGAUAAGGGAGUGAAGGCGCAGGGAUCUUGCAUAAGCAAUGAUCAGUCACUGAUCCGAUGGAUUGGGAAGGCGGCGUCCUCAUGAGGAUCUUUCAGCCAGGAAACCUGCCAGUUAUAAU
RNAcentral lists this non-coding RNA (176 nucleotides) under uncultured Acetatifactor sp. The record is from RNAcentral. Lineage: Bacteria; Bacillati; Bacillota; Clostridia; Lachnospirales; Lachnospiraceae.